AGGGAUUUAGCUCAGUGGCAUAAGUAUCUGCUUGGUAAGCACAAGAUCAUGAGUUCGAUUCCCAGUAUCCCUC
Molecule: transfer RNA, 73 nt
Organism: Cavia porcellus (domestic guinea pig)
Lineage: Eukaryota; Metazoa; Chordata; Mammalia; Rodentia; Caviidae
Rfam family: tRNA
About the family: Transfer RNA (tRNA) molecules are approximately 80 nucleotides in length.
Source: Rfam